UACGGAGGGUGCAAGCGUUGUCCGGAUUUAUUGGGUUUAAAGGGUGCGUAGGCGGCUUUUUAAGUCAGUGGUGAAAGACAACAGCUCAACUGUUGCAGUGCCAUUGAUACUGAAGAGCUUGAGUACAGAUGAGGUAGGCGGAAUUUAUGGUGUAGCGGUGAAGUGCAUAGAUACCAUAAAGAACACCUAUUGCGAAGGCAGCUUACUAAGCUGUAACUGACGCUGAGGCACGAAAGUGUGGGGAUCAAACAGG
Molecule: ribosomal RNA, 253 nt
Filed under: uncultured bacterium
Lineage: Bacteria
Description: partial 16S ribosomal RNA
Rfam family: Bacterial small subunit ribosomal RNA
Source: RNAcentral